Molecule: ribosomal RNA, 255 nt
Filed under: uncultured bacterium
Lineage: Bacteria
Description: partial 16S ribosomal RNA
Rfam family: Bacterial small subunit ribosomal RNA
Source: RNAcentral
UACGUAGGGUGCGAGCGUUGUCCGGAAUUAUUGGGCGUAAAGAGCUUGUAGGCGGUUUGUCGCGUCUGCCGUGAAAAUUCGAGGCUCAACCUCGAACUUGCGGUGGGUACGGGCAGACUAGAGUGUGGUAGGGGGAGACUGGAAUUCCUGGUGUAGCGGUGAAAUGCGCAGAUAUCAGGAGGAACACCGAUUGCGAAGGCAGCUCGCUGGGACGUUACUGACGCUGAGACGCGAAGGCGUGGGGAGGCGAACGGG